AUUUCUUAAUAUUUUAGUACGGGAACCGCAGGAACUUUGUCAGUUUCAAAACGAAAAACAGUAGAUGAAGGAAGUAACGAGGCUGACAACUCAUCCCCCAAAAAUGCUAAAUACGACAGGGAAAAGCCGCGGAAAAAAAAUAAUAGUGUCCAGGACAGCAGGGCUGUCAAGUCUUUAGUGCGACACUCGCACAUGUUCAUGCUUGUUUGGCGGCAUUUUCCUUUGAUCUAUUGUUUUUUCUCUUUGAUCUCCAAAUCACGCAUUCACUUCCUGAAAAGUUGGCAGAACUGGGACACAAUGAUUCCCCUGGCAAGGUUGGCUGUUGCUGAUGAAAAAAACAGACAAUGCUCUGUGAAUAUUGCCGUUAGUUGCCCCAAGCACGCCAAUAAAAAGUCUGCUUUGAAUGUGGGAACAACUAAGUUAGGUUAAGCACCAAAAGAAUAAAUAACAGAUCAACAAAAUUUAUUAAAUACAGUGUAUAAUGUCUCCUUCAAAACAAAGGACACCCACUUUGUAUUAUGCAUCAAACUCUUGAUUUUUAAGGCAUACUAGAGCUAGCAGGUCAGUUUUGAUGGACUAGCAGUUCUUCCAACAGGGCUAGUAAAAUCCUGCUGCCAAUAAGUCCUGGGCUAGUUAGCUGUAACAAAAUUUUUUAACCCCUGA
This 663-nucleotide long non-coding RNA is filed under the name Mytilus galloprovincialis (Mediterranean mussel). Lineage: Eukaryota; Metazoa; Mollusca; Bivalvia; Mytilida; Mytilidae. The record is from RNAcentral.